This 366-nucleotide ribosomal RNA is filed under the name Nocardia brasiliensis. RNAcentral describes it as "bacterial SSU rRNA". It matches the Rfam family "Bacterial small subunit ribosomal RNA", at positions 62 to 435 of the family's 1533-position model. Lineage: Bacteria; Bacillati; Actinomycetota; Actinomycetes; Mycobacteriales; Nocardiaceae. The record is from RNAcentral.
GCAAGCGGUAAGGCCCUUCGGGGUACACGAGCGGCGAACGGGUGAGUAACACGUGGGUGAUCUGCCUCGCACUUCGGGAUAAGCCUGGGAAACUGGGUCUAAUACCGGAUAUGACCUUUCAGUGCAUGCUGUUGGGUGGAAAGAUUUAUCGGUGCGAGAUGGGCCGGCGGCCUAUCAGCUUGUUGGCGGGGUAACGGCCCACCAAGGCGACGACGGGUAGCCGACCUGAGAGGGUGACCGGCCUCACUGGGACUGAGACACGGCCCAGCAUCCUACGGGAGGCAGCAGUGGGGAAUAUUGCACAAUGGGCGGAAGCCUGAUGCAGCGACGCCGCGUGAGCAUGACGGCCUUCGGGUUGUAAACCUG